Molecule: small nuclear RNA, 107 nt
Organism: Suncus etruscus (white-toothed pygmy shrew)
Lineage: Eukaryota; Metazoa; Chordata; Mammalia; Eulipotyphla; Soricidae
Source: RefSeq, a predicted model, not a curated record
GUGCUUGCUUUGGCAGCACAUACACUAAAUUCGCAAUGAUACAGAGAAGAUUUGCAUGGCCCCUUUGCAAGGAUGACAUGCAAAUUUGUGAAGCGGUCCAUAUUUUU